Molecule: ribosomal RNA, 466 nt
Filed under: uncultured bacterium
Lineage: Bacteria
Description: partial 16S ribosomal RNA
Rfam family: Bacterial small subunit ribosomal RNA
Source: RNAcentral
CGAUCGCUGGCGGCGUGCUUAACACAUGCAAGUCGAACGGAAAGGCCCUGCUUUUGUGGGGUGCUCGAGUGGCGAACGGGUGAGUAACACGUGAGUAACCUGCCCUUGACUUUGGGAUAACUUCAGGAAACUGGGGCUAAUACCGGAUAGGAGCUCCUGCUGCAUGGUGGGGGUUGGAAAGUUUCGGCGGUUGGGGAUGGACUCGCGGCUUAUCAGCUUGUUGGUGGGGUAGUGGCUUACCAAGGCUUUGACGGGUAGCCGGCCUGAGAGGGUGACCGGCCACAUUGGGACUGAGAUACGGCCCAGACUCCUACGGGAGGCAGCAGUGGGGAAUAUUGCACAAUGGGCGGAAGCCUGAUGCAGCAACGCCGCGUGCGGGAUGACGGCCUUCGGGUUGUAAACCGCCUUCGCCUGUGACGAAGCGUGAGUGACGGUAAUGGGUAAAGAAGCACCGGCUAACUACGUG